UACGAGGGGUGCAAACGUUAUUCGGAUUUAUUGGGCGUAAAGGGUGUGUAGGCGGCAUGUUGUGUCUGUUGUUAAAUCCUCCAGCUUACCUGGAGAAAUGCGGCGGAAACUAAUGUGCUAGAGGAUGGAAGAGAGAAGUGGAAUUCCCGGAGUAGCGGUAAAAUGCGUAGAUCUCGGGAGGAACACCAAUGGCGAAGGCAGCUUCUUGGUCCAUUCCUGACGCUGAGACACGAAAGCGUGGGGAGCAAACAGG
RNAcentral lists this unclassified non-coding RNA (253 nucleotides) under uncultured bacterium. RNAcentral describes it as "contains 16S-23S intergenic spacer region". It matches the Rfam family "Bacterial small subunit ribosomal RNA", at positions 524 to 776 of the family's 1533-position model. The record is from RNAcentral.